GAUGAACGCUGGCGGCGUGCCUUAUACAUGCAAGUCGAGUGGGUGUACACCCACGGCAAGCUGGUGAGUAACACGUAGGUCCUUUCCUUGUCACAUGAAUAACCCUCCGAAUGUAGGGCUAAUAUCUGAUGUGAUCGCAAGCUCAAAUGCUAUCUGCAAGGAUUACCUGACAAGAAGAGGCCUUCGGCCUAUCAGCUAGUUGGAGAGGUAAAUGCCCACCAAGGCUAUGACGGGUAGCAGGUCUUAUGAGGAUGCUCAGUCGCCUGGGUCGUGAGACACGGGCGCAAAUUCUACGGGAGGGGGCGGUAGGGAAUUUUACGCAAUGCGCGAGAGUGUGACGCAGCGACGCGGCGUGAGGGAUGAAGGCCGUGGAGUAGUAGACGGCUUUUAUAAGGGACGAACUUUGACGGUACCUAAUGAAUAAGAGGCUGCUAACUCCGUG
This 442-nucleotide ribosomal RNA is filed under the name uncultured bacterium. RNAcentral's name for it is "partial 16S ribosomal RNA". It matches the Rfam family "Bacterial small subunit ribosomal RNA", at positions 28 to 507 of the family's 1533-position model. The record is from RNAcentral.